ACCCCAUGUCUACAAAAAGUAAAAAAAUAUAUAUAUCUGUUUGGGCAUGGUGUACAUCUGUGGUCCCAGCUACUCAGGAGGCUGAGGCAGUAGGAUCCAUUGAGCCUGGAAGGCUAGGUUGCAAUGAGCCAUGUUGGUGCCACUGCAUUCCAGCCUGGGUGAGAGGGUGAGACCCUCUCAAAAAAAUAAAUAAAAAUAAAGUAAAAGCGUCAUUCAGAAUCUUCUUUUGAGAAGAGCCUAUGCAGGGGCAGGGUGUGUGGAAGAAGGGAAGAAAUGAUAGUGGCCUGAACCAGGGUAAGUCUUGUGUAGGUGGUUGAGAAGUGAUUCCUCUGGAAGGUAAAGUUACUGAUGGAACUGAAGGGAGGACAUGAAAGAGUCAAGGAUGACUCCAAGACUUUCGACCUGAGUGAUUCAAAGGAUGGAGUUACCAUCAGGUGAAAUGCGGGAAAGUUCAGAUGGAACAAAUCUGAGAGGUAAGAUCAAGAUUUCAGUUUUGGAAAUGUUAAGUUUGAGAUACUUUUUAGUGAUCUGAUUGGUGGUGUCAACUAGUCAGUUGGGAUGUAUGAUUCUGCAGCAGGACAGAGAGGUGUGGGCUAAAGAUCAAACUUUGGAAGUAAUUGGCACAUAGGUAGUAUUUCAAACCAUUAGAAUGAGUGUAGAUAGAAAACUGAAAAAAGAAGAUCAAGGACUGAACCCUGGAGGAGUCCUGCAUGAAGAGAUGGAAAGAAAAGGAGGACCCAGCAAAGGAGAAGGAGAAGAGAAAAUCAAGAGAGUAGAAUGUCAUGGAAGGCAAGUGAAGAAAGUGUUUGAGACCCUAAACUUGGCCAUGAUGGUAAAGGAUGCAAGGACAAUCCUCCAAAUAUUUUCCAGGUAGCUUGAUUGCUACCAACAAGGUGAGCCAUUUAGAUAAAUGGGAAUUUUUAUGCCUGUUAAUAUUUCCAGA
This 943-nucleotide long non-coding RNA is filed under the name Homo sapiens (human). RNAcentral's name for it is "HSALNT0009710". Lineage: Eukaryota; Metazoa; Chordata; Mammalia; Primates; Hominidae. The record is from RNAcentral.